GAAUCAAACACACAGCAGGGUAUCCCGUGAGUACACACUUAUUCUAUAAAAUAUGUACACAUCUUGAUAAAACUUUUUUUUGUAUAUGUAACUUUCAAAUGCUUACAUUUUGUUCCUUUGCUAGAUCCCACUGUGUAUAAAAACCUGUAUCUCUAAGGAGAACAAGUGUCAAGUUUAUAACUUUCUUCACCAGGAUAUACCUGAAAGUGAACUUGCCAUCAUCCACAAAGCCGCUCCCAAAUGUGCAGUCCAAAAGGUGCCACUUUCCAUCAAUGUAAACAGCAUUCCAGCACAGGGAGAAGAAAUGAACCAUUUCCAUGUCACAGCUGCAGCUUCUUGCUGGCCAUGGAGUGAUCUGCAUGUUCCCAACCAUCACAGUCACGUCUGCCGAGGUCAGUAUGCGGCAUGCACAUGACCUCUAAGGCAGGAGUAGCC
Anolis carolinensis (green anole) is the source of this 435-nucleotide long non-coding RNA. RefSeq lists it as uncharacterized. The record is from RefSeq and is a predicted model, not a curated record. NCBI's taxonomy places the organism in Eukaryota, Metazoa, Chordata, Lepidosauria, Squamata, Anolidae. The transcript has 3 exons.